This 345-nucleotide transfer-messenger RNA is filed under the name Negativicutes. RNAcentral's name for it is "RGIG982 sp017442105 Standard tmRNA". It matches the Rfam family "transfer-messenger RNA". Rfam says of the family: Bacterial tmRNA, also known as 10Sa RNA or SsrA, is named for its dual tRNA and mRNA-like properties. Its role is to liberate the mRNA from a stalled ribosome. RNAcentral also lists the same sequence under 1 other name. Lineage: Bacteria; Bacillati; Bacillota. The record is from RNAcentral.
GGGGGCGUAAAGGUUUCGACAGGGACCGUUGGAGUAUGUAAAGCGAGCCGGGAUUCCAUCAGCCCGUAAUACGGUGGGUUUAAAGUAAACGCAAAAGAAAAUUACGCUUUAGCAGCUUAAUGCUAAGGUCUUACCCUCCUUUUCCUACGGGGCGGGAUAAGACCUCAAACAGUAGGAUACUGUAAGCUCAAUUCUCGGAGAGCUUACGGGAAACUUUAUCGAGAUAGUGCAUCGUCAGCCCGUCUGCGGGCGGCCGACGCGCGAAAUCCAAAACGCAGACUGCGCUCGGAGAAAAGCAUAUAACAAUGUUUCUGGACAGGGGUUCGACUCCCCUCGCCUCCACCA